Molecule: long non-coding RNA, 4983 nt
Filed under: Medicago truncatula (barrel medic)
Lineage: Eukaryota; Viridiplantae; Streptophyta; Magnoliopsida; Fabales; Fabaceae
Description: long non-coding RNA (MTRU_LNC000984)
Source: RNAcentral
AACGGCUUUUAGUGCCUCUAAUUCAAACUCUUCAACGGUGUUAACAAGUACUUUAGGGUUGGUUUCUUCAUAUAGAACUUGAAUUUGUUCUUUGAAAGAUUGAGUAGCGAUAGUGUAUAUAUUUGAAGAUAAUAAAAAAGAGGGAAGGUCACGGCUUUCAAGAGAGAAUGACAAUCCUGGUAAUGAUAUUGAACAUGUUUCAUCCUUUGAUUUGUUUGUGACGUAGUCACCAUGCUCAUGAAAGUAAUAAUAGUAGAUAUCAAAAACUGUUGCAGCUUGAAUCCAUAAUAGCGCUGAUGGGAGGUGAAGCUCACGUGCCACCUUUGCGACCCAAGGAAUGAUGAUACCGUAGGCUAAGCAAGUGAAUGGACGACCUUCCUGUUUGCCGGAGAGUAUGAUAUUUGUGAGAAAUUCCGAGCAGCGGCGCUUAAGCUCAUACUCGUAGGUGACAAAGUCUUCGUUGCUUUCGAAUUUUGGGCCAUCGUCGUGGCCGUCAGAGAAGGUGGCGAAGGAAAGGCCCGAGAUGGUUGAUUUGUUGGUAAGGCGAGUGUGUAAGUAGAUAGUGGUAGCAAAAGUGACUUGUGCGCCCAAAGAAAUGAGACGUUUGGCGAAUUGGAGAGCAGGGUUUAUGUGACCGUGUAGUGGGUAUGUGAUGAUGAGGAAGUGGUGGUUUUGCGCCAUGGUAGUGGUGGCUUGUGAAAAUGCAAUAGCACGAACCAGUAGAGUAAAGGAAGUGUGAUAUGCAACGGUUAUGAAUGUAUAUGGAUGGAUAGCAUAAGCUAAGUGUUUUUAUACAAGUGGUGUCCAUGCUGACGUUCGGGAUGACCAAGUUCUGUGGGGUACUCAUCCAUAAGCAUGUUUUUCUACAACUCAUUUAUCUCUUGAUCCUUGUUAAUAGUUUUUCUUAGAAUCUUUUUACAUCCAGUCCUACCGUUGAUGAUCUGACUCCACUCCACCUGAUCUACUCUCCUAACCACAUAAUAUACAAGUCUUCUCUCAACAUGUCUAAAUCAUCUAAGUCUAAUUUCUACCAUUUUUCUACCAUAAGUGAUACCCAAUUUUAUCUUUAACGUCGUCAUUUGUAAUUAUAUCUCAUUUAACCUUAUCAUAUAUCCAACGGCCAAUGCAACAUUUUAAUUGAAUCUUAAGAUAGAUUGUGUUUAACUCUUGACAAUUUUUUUUUUUGCAAUGCAACAUUUUGAUUUAAUUUUAAGAUAGAUUGCGCCCACCUCUUUAAAAAAAAUCCAUUUACGGUUCAUCAUAUAUUUUUUUUUAGUAAACCACUAAAUUGGUUCAUGUCUUUAUAAGCUACUCUCAAAUUUAUCACGGACUCUAUUAAUAUUUCAAACUAGUCUCCAUCUUUAUCAAAAGUUUCUCAAUUUGAUCAUUAUCUUUAUGUUUUUGUCACAUCACGAGGAAUCUAAUUAAAAAGUUUUUGACAAAAUAAGGACUAAUUUAAAAUAGGAGAAUGUUAAUGAGUUCCCUUGAGAUAUUGGUUAAAGUGUUAAAAUUAGUUAUUUUGCAUCAAAAAGUGGUGUGAUUAUUGCUAAGACAAAUGUAAAAGUAUAUAAGACAAAAUUUCUAUUAGUAGAUUUCUUAAUCAAUGUCUUUCGAACACGGUUAGUAAGACCCAUUAAAAUAUCAAUAGAGACAAAUACGUAUUUAAGGAUGAUUUACAAAGACGAUGACUAAUUUAGUGAUUUAUUCAAAAAAAAUUAUGCAAGACGAGGCACCAACACUCAUGAUGUUAGUUUUAUUUUACUAAACCGAUACUCGUGACAAAUUUUUUUUUUUUACAAAACCGACACUCAUGAUAUACUUCAUUUCAAGCUAUCACCAUUGAAUGAAAUAUGACAAGCUAAUCAAGACAGCGGGACAGGGGUUGGUCCUUCCAUACCUGCCUUAUAGGGUUAGUUAUUAAUGUUAAUUAAGAACGUGGAACAGGGUUGGUCAAUCCAUCCCCACCUCGUAAGGUCAUUAGUUACACAGUUAAUCAAAAUAAACAAGAGGGUUUUUUUUUUUUUUCUUUCUUUUUUAUAUUAUUUUUGUCAAAUAAUUUUAAUAACUAGAAAAAUCCAUCUGUUAAAUGAAUAAGUUAUAAAUUUACGAUUUGAAUUCAACCACCGCAUAUAAAAUGCGACGUUUCUAUCAAUUGAUCAUAUCUGCCAAGUUAAAUAAGGGUGUUUAAAUUUAUACAUAUAAUUUUUUUUUUUGAAUAUUACCGAAUUUCUUUAAAUCUUGUUGUGGUCCAAUCAAAUUUAAUAAAUAAAUUGCAUUUUAUUAUAUGCAUUAAAUAUGACAACAACAACAAUUUAUUGUGAUGCAUUGCGAUGAAAAUGACAACAACAAGCAUUACAACCAUCAAAAGCAUUACAUCUAAAGCCAAAUUAAGCCCUCUAAGCCAAAGAGUUUGAAACUAAUUUGAAGGAUGGAACACACCAAUUGCAGCAACUAACAUAACAACAAAACUACAACAACAACAUGGCCUAAAUCGUCCAUAUCGUGAAGCUUAAAAUCCAAUCGAACAAAGCCCACUAAAGAUGGUGGCGUGGACUGUUGAGACAAAGAUGUUUCACUUUAAACCCUUAAUGGGUUAUGAAGUAAUUCGAACCGACGAAAAUCCAAUUUCACAAAACAAACGAAAGUCAUAUAGGAAAAGAGGUGGAUCGGAUCAGAUGAAUGAGCAGAAGCUGGCAAGAAAUCCCUAAGGAGGAGAAUAAUAAUGAACCCACAUGUGAGAAAAAUAACUCCAAAAAAACCCACAAGGAACCCAGAUGUGAGAUACAUCAUACCUAGAAACGUUAAAAAAUGAAGAAUACUGACAUAGUUUGUGCUCACAUGAAAACAUAGAGUAAAUCAGCCACCAAACAAAGAUACAUUUAGAAAUGACGUCAUCGACGAUGAGGCUUGAGGGUUAAUUGUUAGGAAAUAACAGGGCUAGCUGAAGAAGAAAAAAAUAAACACAAUCACAAACACAAGAAUAUAACGUGGAAACUCCAAAACCGAAGACAAAACUACGACCAUUGUUCUCUAACCCCAAUGCCCCAGUACACCCACACUCUCACAAAGCAAAUAUUUAACCUAAGUCAGAUAUAAGCUUAAAGUGCUACUGACUGGUGCAUCUAAAAACAAAGAAACUAGAUUCAAUAUAUAGCCUUGGUCUUCACCUUGCUUCACUAAACUAAGCGAUGUGGAAUAUAGUCACCAAUAACUAAUAUUUUCUAACCUCCUUCUUUAUUCAAGAAACUUGACAAUCAAACCCAACAUUAAUAACACCACCACAAAGCCGUGGCUCUAUCAGUAACAAGUGUUUUAAAUUUUGGGUGGAGAGGAUGGUAGUGGGCAGCGACAGUGAAGUGUGAUAGUGUAAAUUAACUUUUAAUUAAAUUUAAAAUAAUUUUUUUAUUAAAUUUUUAUAAGUACGUUGAUUCCCCGUGCUUAACACAAGUAUCAUACUACUUAGUUAGGCACAGAUUAUUUUACACUAAUGAGUUGAUACUUUGCAUAAUGUCUACGUAGCCCUUGUUAGGCACGGUUCAGAUUAAUGUACCUUGAGAUUGCAAGUUUGAAUCUACUUGGAGAUAUUCAUAUUUGAGUCAGCCUUUAGCAUAGUAAUGGUGAUAUGAUUUUUUAACGAAUUUAAAUUUCCCUGGUGAAUAUUGGCUCCGUAUUGUUUCUCCCUCUUCUAAAUAAUUAAUAAUACCAAUUGCAUAAUCAUAUAUCACACCAUGUUUUAAAAGCUUUCUUGUUACAAACAACAUUUUCCAACUGGAAACAUUUUGGAUUUUGACCUAGACAAAUAACAUUAUUGGGAGACAUUCUAAUUAACAUAGUUUUAGUUUUUCCUUCUUUAAAAUUAACAUUCCACUAGUUGGAUAUAUAGCUAAAAUCAGAGGGAAAUAAGUGCUAACUAAUUUUCACUUAUACAGCCAAUGUCAUCUAGAAAUUUGCUCAGAUUCUUAUUCGAAGACCCUCCUUCCUUCAUAGCUUCACUAGCCAAACUCUUCCAUUUCUUAGCAUUCCUUCUAAGUUCCUCUCCUUUUUCUCCCUUCCCCAUCACCACUUCCAAACACUUCAUAAUUUCCCCAGCUUUCACUAUACCUGCUUCCUCAUCACGUUCCACCCUCAACCCAGUCUUCCACAAAUCUUCAAUUAACUUUGCAUUAGUAGUUUGAUCUGUCCACUGGGGAAAUGCUACCAUAGGAACCCCUGAACCCAAACUUUCCAAAGUCGAAUUCCAUCCACAAUGCGUCAUAAAACAACCCAAAGAACGGUGCGACAAAACCUCCACCUGACUACACCAUUUCACUAUCUUCCCAUUAACAUUCCUCUCAAGUUCCUCUCUACAACUUAACUCAUCACUAUCACCCUCCUCUUCUUUUUGUUGCAUAACUUUUUCAUCUCUAAUUACCCACAAGAAAUAAAAUCCAGAAUCCAACAACGCACGUCCAAUUUCCUCCAUUUGUCUCUUGGACAAAAUAGCAAGAGUACCAAAUGAAACAUAAACCACAGACGAUUCAUCCUUUGAAUCCAACCAUUCAAAGUAAUUAUCUUCUGAUUCAACAUCGACAACACCACCACCAGACGAAGUAUCAUUAGGAUCUUUACCGCCCAAGAAAGCAUAUGGAAUCAAUGGUCCGAUUGGUAUCAUUUUGAUCUUACCAACAUCAACGGCUUUUAGUGCCUCUAAUUCAAACUCUUCAACGGUGUUAACAAGUACUGUAGGGUUGGUUUCUUCAUCUAGAACUUGAAUUUGUUCUUUGAAAGAUCGAGUAGCGAUAGUAUAUAUAUUUGAAGAUAAUAAAAAAGAGGGAAGGUCACGGCUUUCAAGAGAGAAUGACAAUCCUGGUAAUGAUAUUGAACAUGUUUCAUCCUUUGAUUUGUUUGUGAUGUAGUCACCAUGUUCAUGAAAGUAAUAAUAGUAGAUAUCAAAAACCGUUGCAGCUUGAAUCCAUAAUAGCGCUGAUGGGAGGUGAAGCUCAC